AGAAAACAAAGGGAUUGCCCUAGUACGGCGAGUGAAGCGGCAACAGCUCAAAUUUGAAAUCUGGCCCUCUUUGGGGGGUCCGAGUUGUAAUUUGUAGAGGGUGCUUUGGCAUAGGCGGCGGUCUAAGUUCCUUGGAACAGGACAUCGCAGAGGGUGAGAAUCCCGUAUGUGGGCGCCUGCCUUUGCCGUGUAAAGCCCCUUCGACGAGUCGAGUUGUUUGGGAAUGCAGCUCUAAAUGGGAGGUAAAUUUCUUCUAAAGCUAAAUACCGGCCAGAGACCGAUAGCGCACAAGUAGAGUGAUCGAAAGAUGAAAAGUACUUUGGAAAGAGAGUCAAAUAGCACGUGAAAUUGUUGAAAGGGAAGCGCUUGCAGCCAGACGUGCCCGCAGUUGCUCACCCCGGCUCUUUGCCGGGGGCACUCUUCUGCGGGCAGGCCAGCAUCAGUUUGGGCGGUCGGAUAAAGGCCUCUGUCAAGUAUCUUCCUUCGGGAUGACCUUAUAGGGGAGGCGCAAUGCGACCAGCCCGGACUGAGGUCCGCGCAUCUGCUAGGAUGCUGGCGUAAUGGCUGUAAGCGGCCCGUCUUGAAACACGGACCAAGGAGUCUAACAUCUAUGCGAGUGUUUGGGUGUCAAGCCCGGGCGCGCAAUGAAAGUGAACGGAGGUGGGAUCCCCUUCGGGGUGCACCAUCGACCGAUCCUGAUGUCUUCGGAUGGAUUUGAGUAAGAGCAUAGCUGUUGGGACCCGAAAGAUGGUGAACUAUGCUUGAAUAGGGUGAAGCCAGAGGAAACUCUGGUGGAGGCUCGCAGCGGUUCUGACGUGCAAAUCGAUCGUCAAAUUUGGGCAUAGGGGCGAAAGACUAAUCGAACCAUCUAGUAGCUGGUUCCUGCCGAAGUUUCCCUCAGGAUAGCAGUAACGUAUUCAGUUUUAUGAGGUAAAGCGAAUGAUUAGAGGCCUGGGGGGUUGAAACAACCUUCACCUAUUCUCAAACUUUAAAUAUGUAAGAAGUCCUUGUUACUUGAUUGAACGUGGACAUUUGAAUGUACCGUUACUAGUGGGC
RNAcentral lists this ribosomal RNA (1056 nucleotides) under Pleosporales sp. OTU01. Its description in RNAcentral is "LSU rRNA". It matches the Rfam family "Eukaryotic large subunit ribosomal RNA", at positions 56 to 1131 of the family's 3401-position model. Lineage: Eukaryota; Fungi; Ascomycota; Dothideomycetes; Pleosporales. The record is from RNAcentral.